This is a long non-coding RNA of Fopius arisanus, 1563 nucleotides long. RefSeq lists it as uncharacterized. Lineage: Eukaryota; Metazoa; Arthropoda; Insecta; Hymenoptera; Braconidae. The transcript has 2 exons. The record is from RefSeq and is a predicted model, not a curated record.
GUUUGUGUGAAGUGAAAAAUAUGCGUUUUGCGGGUCUCCAGGAUAUUUGUGUGGACUUUGCGAGGGUGGUACAGGUUCUUCAUCACCCGAGAAAUUCGGAGAUAUAACCGACUUCACCAAUAGAGUCUCUACACUUCCACUACUUUUCUCUACAUUUCCAUCUCCGCAGAUGGAAGGCGGAGGAAAGUGGAGUUUAAGGAGAGAGAAGCUGUGUCUGGUAGUCGCUUAUCUUUUGCCGGGUAGGCACUCACUCAUCUUUGUAUUGUGUAUUGUCUCUAAGUGUAUCAACAUGUAUUGUCAUGGGGCCAGAUACACUGCCACGUCCACGUCGUUAGCCCUGGUGACCCAAAAGAGUGGUGAGUUGGUGUAUUUAACUGUUCUACUUAAAUAAAUACACUUGGGACCAUACGUGAAUGUAAAUAAAAGCAGGAUAAACAAGAUAGUGUGAGAUUAGUGGUACAAUUUGGACCUGGAUUGGGACCAGAGUGUUGGUGUGAAUCUACUAAAUAAAUAUCACAUUUUUUUCUACAUUAAUGCAUUUUAAAUAGUGCAGAAUGCAUUGUUUUUUCUUUAAGAAUUUUCGAUCAUUUUACGAUUGCGACUAAUAUUUUUCAAAUAUAGAUAUACCAUAUAGAAUACCAAUAUUUUCAGAAACAACUUUUAUUUUUUAAUUAUACUCUUAUAUUGAUGUACGUAUGACGCGUAUUAAAAUGAAGAUUGAAAAUGACAAUUCGUCUAGGGGUUUACUCAAAAUUUAAAUAGUGCAGAUCGCUAUGUUGGAAUUCAUUAAAUAAUCAGGAAUUUGAUUCCGAUCUUUAUGGAGUUUGAUGAAGCAUUGUCGUGAAUUUUUAGGUUUAAUUGAAUAAAUUUUGGUGAUUUCUCUAACAAUCAGAGAGAAACCGAUUUUUAGUGAUAAGGAAAGAUUAGUAAUGUGCCAUAUCUCGCGUACGAACAAUUCAAUUUUCACUGCAUUCAGUCACAAUCAAUUGAGUUGAUUUUUAGGGCAUGAUUUUAUUCUUCUAGAUUACGAUUUUUUUUUGCUGGCAAAAAUUAUACUUUUUUAAUUACGAAUAUUUCCACAACUAUACGACAAAUUGAAUUCUAAUUCGUGUCAUUGAAUAGUUUGAUAUCUAGGAAAAAAACACGCAAUUCAAUAUAUUGCGUGAAGUAAAUUUUCAAACACAAACAAUUUUGAAACAUUGAACAACACCAAAAAUGUUUAGAUAUACUGACACAAAAAAUUGGCAUUCAAAAAUUUCAACAAUGACGAAUUUCCACUCGAAAAUCAAUUUGCAAUUGAAAAAACUCUUGGAAUAUCAGUUUUACCCAAGCUACACAGUAGAUUCUAAAACAGUUGAAAUGUAUUAAAAAAAUCAGUGAAAUCCCGGAAUUGUCGAGGUCAUCAGGUCACCUCAGCCACAAAAAUAAACUAACUGGACCAAAAAUGAGGGUUCACAAGCGAGCAAACAGAAUUUUCGCCUGCUACAGAUUAAUAAAAUAAAAAAAAAGAAGAAAUUCGAAAUUUGCGAUCAAUACCGAGAAAACCCAUUCACAAAGAUCGUG